UGAAGGGCAAGAAGGACUUCUUGAGGCGUCUUCGGUGCAGAAAGAUGAUUUCAUUAAAGCUCGGGGACGGGACCUGUGGGCAGAAAGAGCUGCCCUGGGGUCAUGAGGAGCGGGCCGAUCAUAGACUUUCAGGUUGGGAGGGGGUCAGCGAUAGCCUCAGUCUCUAGGACUUUGGAAGCAAGGUUUCCAGGAUCUUGCGGGGCUGGCUGUUAGGCAAAGGUCAUUUUUUUUUUUUCUGUCUAGUAAAACCCUACUCAUGAGACCCUUCAGAUCUAUAUUGGAGGACCUUGUGCUUGGGGAUGAUUGCCAACAUGUACCUUGUGGGGCAGAGAUAAAGUCUCCAGGGGAAUUUUUGUAUGUUACAUAGACUGCCUUUCGCCCUUAGCAAAGAAUUAACAUCGAGGCAGCUGAGCUCCUAGAGGAAGUCACUCUGCCUGUUUCAAGGACUUGUUAGUGUGCUGUAGGUAGUAAGGAAAUUUAAGUUUUCUUCUGCCUUUGUUUCCCACGUCAUAACCCACCCGGAGUUGGGAAGCUAACCCACUCUGGGAGAGAUAACUUGUAAGCCGUUAGCUGCUGACACUUCGCAGGGGUCCCAGUGUGAGUGGGCAGGGACGUCACUCCUGUGGCUCCCGGGGCUCCUGAAGAGGGUGGGGUCCCUGCACAGGAUGAAAGUAUCUCUGAAGAUCAGUAGCUUUGGGUUUAGAAAAUUCUGGCUCCGGAGGGGGCGGGUAAUUGAUCUGGCUUGUUCUUUUGUUCUUCUUGGUUGAGAUCCCAAUGUGGAUCCUCCGUGUCCGGACCACCAGGGCUUGGUCCUCGCUGGGCCAGGGGUCGCCUGCAGAGCCCAGGGGUCGCCUGCGGAGCCCCAGCCCCGUCUCGUCUCCACCCAUGUAAGCCGCACACGCUGCUGGAGGUGGCCUGGGGGCUUCGAGGUUCCUGCAGAGCCCUGCUGGCAGCCACCAGCCUCCGCCCCUCUGGGGGGUUCCAGUUCCCGCAGCUCUUUAGAAAGGACUGGAAGGAGGGGGUGGAGAGACUCUGAGCCUUGAAAUCCGAUCUGUGGUUGUUUUUCCUCUAAAACCGAAUGGAUCCCCGCCCAGCAUCUGCCCUGGGCGCCCUUCCAGUCCCGCAGUGACCCGGGAGGAGCGGCUGCGGGGUGGGGCUGGGUGCGCACCUCCAGGACCUGGUCUGGAGCCAGCCCUGGCCUCGUGACCUUCCCCCCUGGCCCCCACCGGCUCCUGUCAUGCAGCCAUGUGAGCCCGGCCACGGCCAUGGCUGAGCCCCUGUCUUCGGUUUCCCAGUUCACUUCCCGUGGAUUCCCACUGGGCUGAGCACACAGGGCGGCUCUGAUAAAUGCGGCUGACAGGGCACGGGGCGGGGUGGGGAGGCUGUUUUAAACCCAGCGUUAUGAGGCGAGUGUCGGAAUCUGCAUCCGGAUCCCGAAUUUCACUGAUGCCUGCUAAGGAGCCCGGGUGUGCACCGCCAUCCGCCUGAUCCCUGGCCCCGUUGCCACGGGUCACAUCCCUUGGAACAAAGACACAAGGCCCAGGCAACCACCGUUCUACCUUCUGUUUCUAGAAAUCUACUUCAGAGACCUCACUCGUAUGAGCGGAAUCCACUGUGUUUGCCUUUUUGUGGCAGGCUUCUAUACCGGAGCACGAUGUCCUCGUGUUUCUCCCCGGUUCCCACACACGUAACAACACGUGACAAGACAGGACUGUCUUCCUUUCGAGGCCGGAGGAAGAUUCCGUUGUGUGUAGAUAGUACACUGUGGCUGUCAAUCCACUGAUGGACACGUGGCUUGUUUCUACCUCUUGGCUACUGUGGAUAAUGCUGCUCUGAAUAUGGGUGUGCGGAUACCUCUCUGAGAUCACGCUCCAGUUCUUUUGGAUGUUGUCACUGUGUCCCUGCCUGCUGAAGGUGGAUGGUGGGCCCCCAGAGGAUGGGAGCGAUCACCAUCACCCGUG
This is a long non-coding RNA of Ailuropoda melanoleuca (giant panda), 1961 nucleotides long. RefSeq lists it as uncharacterized. NCBI's taxonomy places the organism in Eukaryota, Metazoa, Chordata, Mammalia, Carnivora, Ursidae. The transcript is spliced from 3 exons. The record is from RefSeq and is a predicted model, not a curated record.